Molecule: ribosomal RNA, 929 nt
Filed under: Leiochrinus sp. COL1554
Lineage: Eukaryota; Metazoa; Arthropoda; Insecta; Coleoptera; Tenebrionidae
Description: SSU rRNA
Rfam family: Eukaryotic small subunit ribosomal RNA
Source: RNAcentral
CUCAAAGAUUAAGCCAUGCAUGUCUCAGUACAAGCCAAAGUAAGGUGAAACCGCGAAAGGCUCAUUAAAUCAGUUAUGGUUCCUUAGAUCGUACCCACAUUUACUUGGAUAACUGUGGUAAUUCUAGAGCUAAUACAUGCAAACAGAGCUCCGACCGGAAACGGAAGGAGCGCUUUUAUUAGAUCAAAACCGAUCGGUGGUGGUUCACGCCAUCAUCGUACCAUUUGGUGACUCUGAAUAACUUUAAGCUGAUCGCACGGUCACGCACCGGCGACGCAUCUUUCAAAUGUCUGCCUUAUCAACUGUCGAUGGUAGGUUCUGCGCCUACCAUGGUUGUAACGGGUAACGGGGAAUCAGGGUUCGAUUCCGGAGAGGGAGCCUGAGAAACGGCUACCACAUCCAAGGAAGGCAGCAGGCGCGCAAAUUACCCACUCCCGGCACGGGGAGGUAGUGACGAAAAAUAACGAUACGGGACUCAUCCGAGGCCCCGUAAUCGGAAUGAGUACACUUUAAAUCCUUUAACGAGGAUCAAUUGGAGGGCAAGUCUGGUGCCAGCAGCCGCGGUAAUUCCAGCUCCAAUAGCGUAUAUUAAAGUUGUUGCGGUUAAAAAGCUCGUAGUCGAAUCUGUGUCUCGCGCCGCUGGUUCAUCGUUCGCGGUGUUAACUGGCGUUUUGCGAGACGUCCUGCCGGUGGGCUUAGCUCGCAAGGGCGGCCCAACUUUAAUCCUGCCGCGGUGCUCUUCACUGAGUGUCUUGGUGGGCCGGCACAUUUACUUUGAACAAAUUAGAGUGCUUAAAGCAGGCUAAAAUUUCGCCUGAAUACUGUGUGCAUGGAAUAAUGGAAUAGGACCUCGGUUCUAUUUUGUUGGUUUUCGGAACCCCGAGGUAAUGAUUAAUAGGAACGGAUGGGGGCAUUCGUAUUGCGACGUU